GACGAAGGGGGCUAGCGUUGUUCGGAAUUACUGGGCGUAAAGCGCGUGUAGGCGGUUGCCAUAGUCAGGUGUGAAAGCCUUGAGCUUAACUCAAGAAAUGCACUUGAUACUGGGCGACUAGAGGACCGGAGAGGAUAGUGGAAUUCCCAGUGUAGUGGUGAAAUACGUAGAGAUUGGGAAGAACACCGGUGGCGAAGGCGGCAUCCUGGACCAACACUGACGCUGAGUGAGCGAAAGCCAGGGGAGCAAACGGG
Molecule: ribosomal RNA, 254 nt
Filed under: uncultured bacterium
Lineage: Bacteria
Description: partial 16S ribosomal RNA
Rfam family: Bacterial small subunit ribosomal RNA
Source: RNAcentral